GCUAAAAUCUGUCCCAAAACAUACUGCGGUGUCAUGGGGGUGCAUGGGAUUAGAGCUGGAGACUUGUUGGUGUCCACGGACACGCACAGUUCUCUCCCUUGGCCUUCCUAGGGCCACAGAAAAACACUGGUGAAAAAACAAAAACAAAAACAAAAAAACUUAGGAGAACAGAAGUGGGGAAAAAAUAGAGAAUUUUACUGAUAGAUCUGUGCCAGAGCUGUUAGCUUCUUCCUCUCUGCUGGUUUCUAAUGACUAAAUAGAGAAGUGCAAAUAAGGAAAAGCGUUUUCUGUGCUAGCACAGGCUCCCAGUUGCGUGCUCACUGGCAUGCAGAUAAAUGUUGAAACUGCACUGUGCUCUGACUUGCAUCUAGGAAAAUACCAGAAGACAAUUAGACGUUGUAGCCCGGGUCCUCAGUCGGGAGAUAUGUCCAUAUCAAAUGGAUUCCAGCAGGAUUCCUUGCAUAAAUGGAAAACAGACCACUGAUUCGCAUCGAACACUACUUCCUUUCUGCUAUGAAAGAGUGCAUAUAAUACUAUUCCCAGGGGAUACAGCUUGCAAUGACCUUGGUAAGUAAUUGAUGACACCUCACAUAAGCACCUACUCUUCCUCUAUAUGAUGUUGCAGGAUCAUAUUUGCA
This 638-nucleotide long non-coding RNA is filed under the name Anas platyrhynchos (mallard). Its description in RNAcentral is "lncRNA (ENSAPLG00020014197.1)". The record is from RNAcentral. Lineage: Eukaryota; Metazoa; Chordata; Aves; Anseriformes; Anatidae.